UGGGGAAUAUUGCACAAUGGGCGCAAGCCUGAUGCAGCCAUGCCGCGUGUAUGAAGAAGGCCUUCGGGUUGUAAAGUACUUUCAGGCGGGAGGAAGGUGGUAAGGUUAAUAACCUUAUCAAUUGACGUUACCGACAGAAGAAGCACCGGCUAACUCCGUGCCAGCAGCCGCGGUAAUACGGAGGGUGCAAGCGUUAAUCGGAAUUACUGGGCGUAAAGCGCACGCAGGCGGUUGAUUGAGUCAGAUGUGAAAUCCCCGGGCUCAACCUGGGAACUGCAUCUGAUACUGGCAAGCUUGAGUCUCGUAGAGGGGGGUAGAAUUCCAGGUGUAGCGGUGAAAUGCGUAGAGAUCUGGAGGAAUACCGGUGGCGAAGGCGGCCCCCUGGACGAAGACUGACGCUCAGGUGCGAAAGCGUGGGGAGCAAACAGG
Molecule: ribosomal RNA, 429 nt
Filed under: Chloroflexota bacterium
Lineage: Bacteria; Bacillati; Chloroflexota
Description: Chloroflexi bacterium partial 16S ribosomal RNA
Rfam family: Bacterial small subunit ribosomal RNA
Source: RNAcentral